This 490-nucleotide ribosomal RNA is filed under the name uncultured bacterium. RNAcentral's name for it is "bacterial SSU rRNA". It matches the Rfam family "Bacterial small subunit ribosomal RNA", at positions 26 to 518 of the family's 1533-position model. The record is from RNAcentral.
AGGACGAACGCUGGCGGCGUGCCUAACACAUGCAAGUCGAACGGAGAGCAUAUGAAGUAUUCGGUACGGAAUGCGUUCUAGUGGCGAACGGGUGAGUAACACGUGGGCAACCUGCCCCAGACUGGGGGAUAACAUUGUGAAAACAGUGCUAAUACCGCAUGACAGGGUUCCGGGCAUCCGGGACUCUUGAAAGGAGAAAUCCGGUCAGGGAUGGGCCCGCGUCCAAUUAGCUAGUUGGUGGGGUAACGGCCCACCAAGGCGACGAUUGGUAGCCGAACUGAGAGGUUGAUCGGCCACAUUGGGACUGAGACACGGCCCAGACUCCUACGGGAGGCAGCAGUGGGGAAUAUUGGGCAAUGGGCGAAAGCCCUGACCCAGCGACGCCGCGUGAAGGAUGAAGGUCUUCGGAUUGUAAACUUCUUUGAUCAGGGAAGAAAGAAAUGACGGUACCUGAAAAACAAGCCACGGCUAACUACGUGCCAGCCGCCGC